CUCUCUAGUAACUCUCAAUCUCCUUUGACUAAGACCUAUCUCUCCUAUCUACUAUCCACUAUUUCGAACCUCUCCCUCUAGCUGCUCUAGAUCAACUUAGCAGGUAACCGACGGACAAACGAAGGAAGCAGGUAUCGAUCGAUGUGUCAGUCGUCGAGAUGACAUAAACUCGAGUGCAAUCUUUCUGGUUGAUGAUCACAUCUACACUGGUAGAUCUGGAAAAAGUAGGGUGCAUGACAUCAUAUAGAGUCUGAUGAAAGGGAUUGGACUUAAUGAUACGAUUUGCGCGUCAAAAGAAGACGAAAGGAACUACGUUAUAGCCAGAAUUUUGGUGCUCAAUUCUGGAACUCGUUUAUUUUAAUUGUCUCCAUUCCACCGGAUCGCAGCGAGUGUGCAGCAACAAGAGACCACUAUACAGUUACCAUGCCACGAAGGACCCCAAAACACUGAAUGAACAAAAGAUCCGAAUCUCGAAGCGAUGCGAGUCGGAAAACGCAAUGGGAUGCGUAUACGUGCACAUGCUUAACACAACCACGAGAACGAGUUCUCUGGUCAGUGUCAAUAACCCACUGAAGAGCUUGACCCUCUUUCUUCCCGGUCAUUGACUUACGGUAGUUCUUUACGC
RNAcentral lists this small RNA (625 nucleotides) under Cryptococcus neoformans H99. RNAcentral describes it as "Cryptococcus neoformans var. grubii H99 hypothetical RNA". Lineage: Eukaryota; Fungi; Basidiomycota; Tremellomycetes; Tremellales; Cryptococcaceae. The record is from RNAcentral.